RNAcentral lists this ribosomal RNA (800 nucleotides) under Acinetobacter calcoaceticus. Its description in RNAcentral is "bacterial SSU rRNA". It matches the Rfam family "Bacterial small subunit ribosomal RNA", at positions 59 to 854 of the family's 1533-position model. RNAcentral also lists the same sequence under 1 other name. The record is from RNAcentral. Lineage: Bacteria; Pseudomonadati; Pseudomonadota; Gammaproteobacteria; Moraxellales; Moraxellaceae.
CAGUCGAGCGGGGAAGGUAGCUUGCUACUGGACCUAGCGGCGGACGGGUGAGUAAUGCUUAGGAAUCUGCCUAUUGGUGGGGGACAACAUCUCGAAAGGGAUGCUAAUACCGCAUACGUCCUACGGGAGAAAGCAGGGGAUCUUCGGACCUUGCGCUAAUAGAUGAGCCUAAGUCGGAUUAGCUAGUUGGUGGGGUAAAGGCCUACCAAGGCGACGAUCUGUAGCGGGUCUGAGAGGAUGAUCCGCCACACUGGGACUGAGACACGGCCCAGACUCCUACGGGAGGCAGCAGUGGGGAAUAUUGGACAAUGGGCGCAAGCCUGAUCCAGCCAUGCCGCGUGUGUGAAGAAGGCCUUAUGGUUGUAAAGCACUUUAAGCGAGGAGGAGGCUACUUUAGAUAAUACCUAGAGAUAGUGGACGUUACUCGCAGAAUAAGCACCGGCUAACUCUGUGCCAGCAGCCGCGGUAAUACAGAGGGUGCAAGCGUUAAUCGGAUUUACUGGGCGUAAAGCGCGCGUAGGCGGCUAAUUAAGUCAAAUGUGAAAUCCCCGAGCUUAACUUGGGAAUUGCAUUCGAUACUGGUUAGCUAGAGUGUGGGAGAGGAUGGUAGAAUUCCAGGUGUAGCGGUGAAAUGCGUAGAGAUCUGGAGGAAUACCGAUGGCGAAGGCAGCCAUCUGGCCUAACACUGACGCUGAGGUGCGAAAGCAUGGGGAGCAAACAGGAUUAGAUACCCUGGUAGUCCAUGCCGUAAACGAUGUCUACUAGCCGUUGGGGCCUUUGAGGCUUUAGUGGCGCAGCUA